Molecule: small RNA, 778 nt
Filed under: Pan troglodytes (chimpanzee)
Lineage: Eukaryota; Metazoa; Chordata; Mammalia; Primates; Hominidae
Description: processed transcript
Source: RNAcentral
CACUUUGAAACCAGAUUCUAGCAGGUUGGAAAACAUUAAGUCUUGGGUGCUUGGCGCUUUCGCUCUUCUGUGUCUUCUUGGCCUCACCUGGUCCUUUGGGUUGCUUUUUAUUAAUGAGGAGACUAUUGUGAUGGCAUAUCUCUUCACUAUAUUUAAUGCUUUCCAGGGAGUGUUCAUUUUCAUCUUUCACUGUGCUCUCCAAAAGAAAGUACGAAAAGAAUAUGGCAAGUGCUUCAGACACUCAUACUGCUGUGGAGGCCUCCCAACUGAGAGUCCCCACAGUUCAGUGAAGGCAUCAACCACCAGAACCAGUGCUCGCUAUUCCUCUGGCACACAGAGUCGUAUAAGAAGAAUGUGGAAUGAUACUGUGAGAAAACAAUCAGAAUCUUCUUUUAUCUCAGGUGACAUCAAUAGCACUUCAACACUUAAUCAAGGACUGACAUCACAUGGUCUGAGAGCCCAUCUUCAAGAUUUAUAUCAUUUAGAGGACAUUCACUGAACAAUGCCAGGGAUACAAGUGCCAUGGAUACUCUACCGCUAAAUGGUAAUUUUAACAACAGCUACUCGCUGCGCAAGGGUGACUAUAAUGACAGCGUGCAAGUUGUGGACUGUGGACUAAGUCUGAAUGAUACUGCUUUUGAGAAAAUGAUCAUUUCAGAAUUAGUGCACAACAACUUACGGGGCAGCAGCAAGACUCACAACCUCGAGCUCACGCUACCAGUCAAACCUGUGAUUGGAGGUAGCAGCAGUGAAGAUGAUGCUAUUGUGGCAGAUGCUU